GGCUUCGUAGCUAGGCCUGUGAACCAUGCGCUGUGCAAAAGCGUAGGCGGCGUCCAUGCGUGGGUUCGAAUCCCACCGAGGCUA
This 84-nucleotide transfer RNA is filed under the name Echinostoma caproni. It matches the Rfam family "tRNA". From Rfam's summary of the family: Transfer RNA (tRNA) molecules are approximately 80 nucleotides in length. Their secondary structure includes four short double-helical elements and three loops (D, anti-codon, and T loops). Lineage: Eukaryota; Metazoa; Platyhelminthes; Trematoda; Plagiorchiida; Echinostomatidae. The record is from Rfam by way of RNAcentral.